GAAGAAGCAGGAAGAGCGCCAUCUAUUAUGAGAGACUCCGUGUACUCUGCUAGAAUCCAGGCCGAGAACUUCCAUGAAUUCAUUCUUGAUCCCCACCACCUUAGAAACUACAUUUCCCAGGAUCCUUUGCCAACUGACUUGCCAUGAGAUUCAGCCAAUGGUAGGUACUGAUGAUGAUUUGAAAUCUGGAGGAGGGCCACCAUGUAGGAGCAUGUUUCCUUCCCUCUCUGCCUCUGCUUGUGUCUUCUGGAGAAGAACUUGUCUGUCCUCUACUAUGUACCAGGACUUGCUCUAAUCAUGUUGAAGUCCAGCUUCCAUUAGCUGACCCUGGCUCCUAGUUUCCAACAGCACUGUCUCCUCUUCUGCUUCCUCCAUUUUGGGGUGCGGUAGUUUCCUGUUUGGGUCAUUGCUAAGUUCCUGUUGGCUUUCUCUGGUCUUCUAUCACCAUAUGACCAUUUUUUCUGCAUUAAAUGUAUUCUGUUCCAAGUAUGUAGAUUGGUUUCCUUUUUCUGACGAGAUCCAGGCACAUACAGUGGUCAUUUUUGUCAUAUUCCAUGGCCACCAUAGAGAUUGUGUCAUCGCCACUUUCUUCUAAAUGUAUGAAGCAAGAGCAUAUUCCAUGUGUGCACUGAUUAUUUUAAGUCUACCACUUACUGAGCAGCCACUGUGCACCAGGUAUUAUAAGGAUGCCAUCCAGCCUAUUUCUCUUCAGCCUCACUGCAAGACACAGUUGUCCUCAUUCUCUUUAUUCCAGACAUGUUGGUUUUCUUUCAGGUCACCAAAAUAACACAUUUGUUUCUACUCAAUGCCUUUGCACAUGUUAUAUCCUGUGUGGCGUGAAGGAAUGGUUCCCAGUCCCAGAAAUGAUCCUCACUUAUUCUUUAUGUCUCAAGUUAAACUUUUACAUCUCUCGGAAGGUUUUCCUGACCCUAGACUGUUAAUGUUUUCCUGCUGUACACUGUCAUUUUACCAUGUACUUUCCCCCUUGUAGUAGUUUCAAAAUUAAUUAAAUAAUGUACUGUAUAGUUUGUAUUUUAAUGUCUCAUUAUAUGUGUUAAGAUGUAUGA
This is a non-coding RNA of Macaca mulatta (Rhesus monkey), 1067 nucleotides long. Lineage: Eukaryota; Metazoa; Chordata; Mammalia; Primates; Cercopithecidae. The record is from RefSeq and is a predicted model, not a curated record.